AGAGUUUGAUCCUGGCUCAGAAUAAACGCUGGCGGCGUGCUUAACACAUGCAAGUCGAGCGAGAAAGCCCUUCGGGGUGAGUACAGCGGCGGACGGGUGAGUAACGCGUGAGAAUCUGCCCUUUAGUGGAGAAUACCCUCGAGAAAUUGAGGUUAAUACUGCAUACGUCCCUACGGGGAGAAAGAUGGCCUCUUUGCUGUCGUUGAAGGAUGAGCUUGCGGCCUAUCAGCUAGUUGGUAGGGUAAAGGCCUACCAAGGCGAUGAUGGCUAACCGGCCUGAGAGGGUGUACGGUCACAUUGGAACUGAGACACGGUCCAGACUCCUACGGGAGGCAGCAGUGGGGAAUAUUGCGCAAUGGGCGAAAGCCUGACGCAGCGACGCCGCGUGGAGGAUGAAGGUCUUAGGAUUGUAAACUUCUGUUAAGUGGGAAGAAAUCUUUAGUGUUAAUACCACUAGAAGAUGACGGUACCAUUAGAGAAAGCACUGGCUAACCUCGUGCCAGCAGCCGCGGUAAUACGAGGGGUGCAAGCGUUAUUCGGAAUUAUUGGGCGUAAAGGGUGCGUAGGCGGCUUAUUAAGUCUGCUGUUAAAUCCUUCGGCUUAACUGAAGAAAUGCAGUGAAUACUGGCGUGCUAGAGGAUGGAAGAGAGAAGUGGAAUUCUCGGAGUAGCGGUAAAAUGCGUAGAUCUCGAGAGGAAUACCGAUGGCGAAGGCAGCUUCUUGGUCCAUUCCUGACGCUCAUGCACGAAAGCGUGGGGAGCAAACAGGAUUAGAUACCCUGGUAGUCCACGCCGUAAACGAUGAUCACUAGACGUCGAAUCUGCUCUGCAGAAACGGUGUCGUAGCUAACGCGUUAAGUGAUCCACCUGGGGAGUACGAUCGCAAGAUUAAAACUUAAAGAAAUUGACGGGGGUCCGCACAAGCGGUGGAACAUGUGGUUUAAUUCGACACUACGCGAGAAACCUUACCUGGGUUUGACAUGUAUGUGACCGCUGUAGAAACACAGUUUUCCGGUUUACCGGACACAUACACAGGUGCUGCAUGGCUGUCGUCAGCUCGCUCGUGUCGUGAGAUGUUGGGUUAAGUCCUUUAACGAGCGCAACUCCUGUCGCUAGUUGCUACCCUGUAAAGGGGCACUCUAGCGAGACUGCCUGGGAAACCAGGAGGAAGGCGGGAAUGACGUCAAGUCCUCAUGGCCCUUAUGUCCAGGGCGACACACGUGUUACAAUGGCUAAUACAAAGGGCUGCCAAACCGCGAGGUGGAGCUAAUCCCAAAAAGCCGAUCUAAGUUCGGAUUGAGGUCUGCAACUCGACCUCAUGAAGUUGAAAUCGCUAGUNNNNNNNNNNNNNNNNNNNNNNNNNNNNNNNNNNNNNNNNNNNNNNNNNNNNNNNNNNNNNNNNNAUGAGAGCUGUCUGUACCCAAAGCCAUCUUAGCCAACUCGUAAGAGAGGCGGAUGUUUAAGGUAUGGGGAGUGAUUGGGGUGAAGUCGUAACAAGGUAACC
Molecule: ribosomal RNA, 1503 nt
Filed under: uncultured bacterium
Lineage: Bacteria
Description: partial 16S ribosomal RNA
Rfam family: Bacterial small subunit ribosomal RNA
Source: RNAcentral